Molecule: ribosomal RNA, 253 nt
Filed under: uncultured bacterium
Lineage: Bacteria
Description: partial 16S ribosomal RNA
Rfam family: Bacterial small subunit ribosomal RNA
Source: RNAcentral
AACGUAGGACGCAAGCGUUAUCCGGAGUUACUGGGCGUAAAGCGCGGGCAGGCGGCUCGAUGCGUCUGAUGUGAAAUCUCCUCGCUCAACGGGGAGAGGCCAUUGGAAACGGUCGAGCUGGAGGGCAGUAGAGGUAGGCGGAAUUCCGGGUGGAGUGGUGAAAUGCGUAGAGAUCCGGAGGAACACCAGAGGCGAAGGCGGCCUUCUGGACAGUGACUGACGCUGAGACGCGAAAGCGUGGGGAGCAAACAGG